Molecule: small RNA, 790 nt
Filed under: Pongo abelii (Sumatran orangutan)
Lineage: Eukaryota; Metazoa; Chordata; Mammalia; Primates; Hominidae
Description: retained intron
Source: RNAcentral
CCUCUUCCAGCUUUCUGUGCUCUGAUCUUUUCCCCUAUUCCCUACCCUGUUUCUCAGUGCCUUAUCAGACCCUGCUCCUCCUUAGCUUAAGCUUUACCUUUUCCACCAGUUUUGUGAGAUCAGCCCACCCCAGCCAGAACUGUUUUUCUACUGUUAUUUUUGCCCUCCCAGCCAGUUAUUAGUCCUCAAUGGACCAUUUCUAAGACCUCUUUUGAAGCCCUCUCCAUCCUCACCCCUAGCUUAGUGUAGUGCUAGGCACAUAGCGGGCUCUUGGUGAGUCCUGGUUGGUCAGGUGAUGGAUAACAUUUUUCUCCUCUUCUCCCUAGGUUGAUCUGUUCCAGCUGCAAGUGAACACCCUACGACGUUAUAAACGACACUACAAGUUGCAGACCAGACCAGGCUUCAAUAAGGCCCAGUUAGCGGAAACUGUGAGUCGACACUUCAGGAACAUACCUGUGAAUGAAAAAGAGACCCUUGCCUACUUCAUCUACAUGGUGAAGAGUAACAAGAGUAGACUGGACCAGAAAUCGGACGGUGGCAAGCAGCUUGAGUGAGGAUGAAGCACAUCUUAAAGGAAUGAAGUGUAAUGCUUGAUGCACAGGUGAUAUCUGCUACAUUUAAGCCCAUAAAGACUGUUAAAUAUUAUUGUAAAUAAAAAAGUUUGAAUGAUGAAUACUGUAAAUCUUUUUGGUCAGGAGGAUUAUAUUCUCAUCAUUCAGCAUGUGUAUAGAAAGACUUUUAAGAUAACUCUGGACUAAAAAAAUCAGGAUCAUUAAAAGAAUUAAAAACU